Haemorhous mexicanus (house finch) is the source of this 5158-nucleotide long non-coding RNA. RefSeq lists it as uncharacterized. The record is from RefSeq and is a predicted model, not a curated record. The transcript is spliced from 4 exons. Lineage: Eukaryota; Metazoa; Chordata; Aves; Passeriformes; Fringillidae.
CUGUGCUCUGUGCCUGCUAAAAUAUUGAUGUUCUUCCCCUUUGCUCCUUUCUCUGAUUUAAGUAAAAUGCAAAUCCAGCCACUGGUGUACUGAAGCAGGAUGAAUUCUUAUAUUUCAUAUUACUUUCAACAAUGCAAAUUACUAUUCUGACAAUCAUCCAUCAUGUAGUAGGGUUGCCCAAGAAAUUUAGCUAUGCAAGUACAAAAUCUGUCAGUAUCAGAGUUACUUACACCACAACAUUCUGGAAAAUUCAAGACCAGUCUAUGCAGCCUGCCUGCACUGAAGAGCAUGGAAUGAGUUGUGCAGGAAAGUAGAAGCCCAAGAACUUGUUUGAGCUAAAGAGAAGAUUGAAAUCCUUGGUUCCCCCACUGGAGAAGCCUCCACCUCCAUGGCAGCCCUUGCUGUUGAGCAGCUGAAGCAAACAGAUCCACCAGUGUUUUAUUUAUUUAGUGCAUUGCCAGCGCGCGGGCUGCACUCCAUCACGGUGACGGCUGAAUCCAUCAUCCCCUACCUGCAGCUAUAAUAGGAGUGCUCUCAAAUCAACAAGUCUUUCCUUCAGAGUAACUGAACUGUAAAUUGUCCUUGACCAGUCAGACAAACAAAAACAACCUUCCCUGUUAAUCUGCUGAAGACAAACGGCUCGGUGUCUCCCCUGCUGCCCAGAAGGAUGCUGGUGGCAGGGCUGGUUUCUGGCUCGGUGUCUCUCCUGCUGCCCAGAAGGAUGCUGGUGGCAGGGCUGGUUUCUGGCUUGGUGUCUCCCCUGCUGCCCAGAAGGAUGCUGGUGGCAGGGCUGGUUUCUGGCUCGGUGUCUCCCCUGCUGCCCAGAAGGAUGCUGGUGGCAGGGCUGCUGUAGGUGCCACGUCCCUCACCGGGGCCGUGCCGCCCCCGGGUUCGCCAGCUCCGUGAGGGAUAGAGGAGGAGAUGCAACCCGACCUCUAAAAAUGUAAAUAAUCAUUUUGUUUCUAGGGUCACGGGGCUGGUUUUAGUGAAAAUGAGGUUUCCUGGAUCCUUAGGAGAUAUUAGAGAAAUAGAAGUUUUUUCUGCUGGAUAGAGGGAACUUGCAGUACCACAGGCAUGACAUCUGGAUAAUCUUAUGUCAAACACAGGCAAGUUUUUACUCUUGUGCUUGAUCAGGAAACCAAUUUCAUAAAGCACAGUUAAAAAAUUGACUAAUGAUGCCUAGGUUUCGCUUUUCUGAAUUUCUAGUUCAUACAUAGGUACAUAAAUUACUGGAAAUAUUUUUUAUUAGAUCAUUUUCUGUGCUUCUUGUGGCGGCAACUGAGUGCAAAUAUUUUCUCUCUCCUCGUCACUCUUUGUAGCUGACUUUUUAAGGUGUUUUACCAAAAAAAGCAUUCCUGAAAGGCUCCAUUAAAGAAAUGCUGACACAUUAUGUUACAGUAUGUUACAGUAUCUUGGGUUCUAUCAGUCACAUUUCAUUACUUUUACAUAACAUGGCUCUAUUGAUGCAACCUGAUGUGACAUGUCACACUGCAGUGUCAGCGACAAACUUGGGCUAAAAAAGUUUUCCUCCUUAAAACCCCUGCCUUGACAAAACACAGGAGGGAUGACUACGCACAUUCCUUUAUUUAUCACCACAAAUAAAUAAUUUAAAUGAAGGCUAACACCACGCCUGUGUGUUAGUGUAUAAUUCCACAUUUGUGCACACUAUGUGCAAAGUGGGUAAUUGUUGGAGUGUUUUACUACUGGCACAUCUUUAUUCAGAACAUCCAGAGGUGUCUGGGUCAACAGCUUCCUAUUUAUUCAAAUUUAUAUUGACUAGCUUCAGAAGGCAAAGCUGACAAAAUGAUUAAUUAGACUUUAUAACUCAUUGGCAGCCUGCAGUUUAAUGGAAUUAGCAGAGCUUAAGUUCAUCUUUAAAUACCAUGACGGUUUUAAUUUUAAAAACGUCAAAUUACAUUUUUCAGUCAGCACCAAAUACAAGAUGACUUGUUCCAAACUUAUGGGAAACCCAAAAAGGCUAAACAGGCAGCAUGUUUAAUUUUGGAUUUUUAUGACAAUUUAAAUCUUUAAGGAACAGAUUAAUUUUUUUCUUUUCCCCCACAUUAAACUGCUGCACCCCUUGGGUAGGCAGCGAGUUGAGCAGGUAUGAAGGAUUUUAUAGAGUUGGCAUGUAGGAUUUUGUGAUCUAAUAAAUGGACAAUUUCAACAAAAAUAGGGUCAAACUCUACAAGGUGGAUGCAAAACAGUUAAAAAAAUCAGUAAUAAUGAUGGCAUUUUGGUCUUAAAUGUGAAAAAGGUCUACCUAGCCCUCCACAGGGGACAUGGCUGCAAGGGGUGUCACAUGUGUUUGUUGCAUUGCCAACUCUUACUGUAAACUAUUUCAAUUCAAAUAUUCCUAUUUAAGCAAUAUUAUGACAUUAAAAUAUUUAUAUUCUGUUAUGUCUGUGAUAUUAUACAAUAAUAUUCAUGGUGAUUCAUACUGACAAGGUCUCAAUUUAUUUCAACAAAGCAGUGGAUCUCCAGGACACACAAGCUGCUGGAAUUCUAGAUAGCCUUGCUGAUGUGCCAAAAUUAAAAUCAUAGAGAAGCACUUUUAGCACCUGCCUGUACUGCAUCGAUCUGAAAGUAAAGCAUGGCACUAUUUUUAAAGAGUUUUUCACUUUUUCAAGGCAAAGUUAGAAACUCCCAAUUAAUACACACACAGCACACCUCCUUUUAUGCUUGUAAAAAGUAUUUUAAAUGGUGUGGUUACCACUUGACUUGGUACCAAAUUAAGUGUAAAAAAUGUGCAGUUUUUGGGGUAAGCAGAUACUUCCCAAAAUCUGCAUCUCAGUAGAAAUGAAAUUUUUGUCAGCUCUUGCAACAGUGAACAAAUGCCCACAAAGUUCAGAACACUCCAAAGCACAUAACACAAGCUCAGUUUUAUAACAGAAAAGUGUCAUUUUUAUGGAAUGCAGCACAAACCUCACUGUAUUUCAGAUACUUUGAAUUAGAAAAGAAAAUAGAAUGCACACUGAACACCUUUGAUGAAGCCAGAAAUGCAUCUACAACACGUAAAUAGGCUUCCAAGAAACUGCAAGGCAUUAUAGAAGCAUAAAACCCACAAAGCUGGUGUAUAAAAAUGCUGGAAACUCAGGAAAGGGGUGCAUAUGUAUUCCCAUAAUGUGUAACAAAAAACUUUCCUAACUUCUCUGGCUAUAGCUGUAUGUCAUGAGACAGGAAUUGCUGUGAUUCCACGAAUUAGCAGGGAAAUGAUUUCCAAAGGAAAAUGAUGCACUCACUUCUGAACAGUGUGACACUGCAUCUUUGUUUAUCCUCCCUUCUCAGCUAUGAGAUUCCAGGUUCCCUCUGAACCUGCAGAAUAUUGGGAAUAGACCUGGUCUGAUGUGCUGACCAAGAGGAAACUGCAAACCCACAGAGCUGCAGUUUCAAGGGGUUGUUCCAGACAAUUCAUUUUCCUGCAACAUUGAUGGAAUUCCCUCUUCAUUCCAGGGACUGGACAGAAUUUUCUUCCCAGACAGACUGGAACUAGCAGAGUGUGAUGGCAGGGAAACAGAAAAUGGCCAGGGGGGGGUCUGUGUCCAUCUAUGGGUUCUCAUAAGCAAUGGUGACACGUGGAUAAGGAAAACAGAUCCCUGGAAACAAAAUUAAAUGAGAUGCAGCAGAAAUUUGCAGAAAUUGGGAUUUGAUCAUGCUAAGUCAAGAGGUAACAGGGAAGUAAAGCACUGCCUGUUAGCAGUGCAAUAUCUGAGCAUGGGUUUUACAGAAAAUGCCACCAGACAGGGCUGAUGGUCCUUCAGGAAGAGGCAAUUUUCCACUUAAAUGCAUGUGAAUAUUAACCUGUGUAGUGCUGUGCAAAUGAAGAAGGCAAUCUAUAAGGGACUUGGAGCAGGCACUCUGAAUGAGACUCAAAAGAGCCAAUUCAGCAUACAGGGGAUACAUGGCUGAUCAUAGAGCCAUAAUGAAGAACAAUAUCCCUUUGAUGUUAAUUAGUUGCACUUGAUAGGGCAAUGCUAGAGAGGCUUUACAGCAGUGGAGUAAGGAAAAUCAGAACCUCAAUAAAGCCUUCAGCGUGCUAAAAGCAAUGUGGAUUUUUUAAAAAGCCAACCAAAACAGGAGCCCCUAAUUCACUGGAUCAUCCAACCUCCAGAGAAUGAGGAAAGAUUUCAUAGAAAGCAGAAACAGAAAUAUCAAAGGUACAAUUUUGCCAGAAACGUCUACAUUUCUUUUUCUUUUCCAUCCCACUGUAAUAAUACCCUUUGCCUCUUUUAUAAUCCACUUUUUCCUUCCCCAAAGCCCAUGGAGCACAAACAGGGUUACCCAGCCUGGCAAAUUGUCCCCAUCCAAACACUGAACUUGCUCCCUGCUCCUGGAUCUCCCUCCUUUGCUCUCUGUGGGUCCAGCCAGACACAAAGUGCUCAAAGCUGAGUAUUCCUGCUUUGGUGUGAGGCUUAAAAAACCCAAAUCCAUUUGAAAAUCAGGAUUUCAGUCACUGUUGAACACUUGUGCUGAAGACAGGCAAAGCAGGGGCUCUGACUUGCCCCUACACCUUGGUGUUCUUGGAAAACAAGAAUUGCUGCUGCUUCUCUGCCUUGAAAAUCCCUUGGGAGGGCCCAGCUGAGGGUCACGAGGACAGAAGAGAAGUACACAUGGGGAAAAGCAAUGGAAGAACAAAGGAAUAAACCAUGCCAUAAAUAGUCCAAAAAUCAGAUCAGCAAAAUAUUUCACUGAAUGAGCUCUAUAAAAUGUCCAAAACUCUACUAAACUACACUUUCAACCUUUCUAUUAUAGAAAAAGUCUUCAGAUUGGGUAAUUUUGUGAGUUAAAAAUCAAACCAAAAUUAUCCUAAAUAUCAAGUACAGAUUAAAAUCAUGGUAGAAAAAUCCCAUAUUCUUACUGUUAAAUGUUAAACUUUUGAUAUCCCAACACAUUUGCAGUGAUUGUGUUUGCAGCAUUAGUUUGAUCCAAAAAAUAAGAAAGCAACCUUAAGCAUUUCUUAUUAAAAAACCCAACCCCCUCCAAAAACCAGAUCAUACUUUGAUUUAGGUUCUUAUCAGCUGAUAGCCUUAACUUCAUGGCUAUGUAAGAAGAUGGAGGGAAUGAUUUAUUGUUGACUGUCAUUCUUUCUGGAGAUGAAUAAUCUUCUUCCUCAGUAUUAAAGUGGCUUUCAGGCAAAUCAAUCAACCAUAGAUCAUGU